Molecule: ribosomal RNA, 250 nt
Filed under: uncultured Variovorax sp.
Lineage: Bacteria; Pseudomonadati; Pseudomonadota; Betaproteobacteria; Burkholderiales; Comamonadaceae
Description: partial 16S ribosomal RNA
Rfam family: Bacterial small subunit ribosomal RNA
Source: RNAcentral
UGGCGGCGAGUGGCGAACGGGUGAGUAAUACAUCGGAACGUGCCCAAUCGUGGGGGAUAACGCAGCGAAAGCUGUGCUAAUACCGCAUACGAUCUACGGAUGAAAGCAGGGGAUCGCAAGACCUUGCGCGAAUGGAGCGGCCGAUGGCAGAUUAGGUAGUUGGUGAGGUAAAGGCUCACCAAGCCUUCGAUCUGUAGCUGGUCUGAGAGGACGACCAGCCACACUGGGACUGAGACACGGCCCAGACUCC